This 1449-nucleotide ribosomal RNA is filed under the name uncultured organism. RNAcentral describes it as "16S ribosomal RNA". It matches the Rfam family "Bacterial small subunit ribosomal RNA". The record is from RNAcentral.
ACGAACGCUGGCGGCGUGCUUAACACAUGCAAGUCGAACGGAAAGGCCCUGCUUUUGUGGGGUGCUCGAGUGGCGAACGGGUGAGUAACACGUGAGUAACCUGCCCUUGACUUUGGGAUAACUUCAGGAAACUGGGGCUAAUACCGGAUAGGAGCUCCUGCUGCAUGGUGGGGGUUGGAAAGUUUCGGCGGUUGGGGAUGGACUCGCGGCUUAUCAGCUUGUUGGUGGGGUAGUGGCUUACCAAGGCUUUGACGGGUAGCCGGCCUGAGAGGGUGACCGGCCACAUUGGGACUGAGAUACGGCCCAGACUCCUACGGGAGGCAGCAGUGGGGAAUAUUGCACAAUGGGCGGAAGCCUGAUGCAGCAACGCCGCGUGCGGGAUGACGGCCUUCGGGUUGUAAACCGCUUUCGCCUGUGACGAAGCGUGAGUGACGGUAAUGGGUAAAGAAGCACCGGCUAACUACGUGCCAGCAGCCGCGGUGAUACGUAGGGUGCGAGCGUUGUCCGGAUUUAUUGGGCGUAAAGGGCUCGUAGGUGGUUGAUCGCGUCGGAAGUGUAAUCUUGGGGCUUAACCCUGAGCGUGCUUUCGAUACGGGUUGACUUGAGGAAGGUAGGGGAGAAUGGAAUUCCUGGUGGAGCGGUGGAAUGCGCAGAUAUCAGGAGGAACACCAGUGGCGAAGGCGGUUCUCUGGGCCUUUCCUGACGCUGAGGAGCGAAAGCGUGGGGAGCGAACAGGCUUAGAUACCCUGGUAGUCCACGCUGUAAACGGUGGGUACUAGGUGUGGGGUCCAUUCCACGGGUUCCGUGCCGUAGCUAACGCUUUAAGUACCCCGCCUGGGGAGUACGGCCGCAAGGCUAAAACUCAAAGGAAUUGACGGGGCCCCGCACAAGCGGUGGAGCAUGCGGAUUAAUUCGAUGCAACGCGUAGAACCUUACCUGGGUUUGACAUGGAUCGGGAGUGCUCAGAGAUGGGUGUGCCUCUUUUGGGGUCGGUUCACAGGUGGUGCAUGGCUGUCGUCAGCUCGUGUCGUGAGAUGUUGGGUUAAGUCCCGCAACGAGCGCAACCCUUGUUCACUGUUGCCAGCACGUUAUGGUGGGGACUCAGUGGAGACCGCCGGGGUCAACUCGGAGGAAGGUGGGGAUGACGUCAAGUCAUCAUGCCCCUUAUGUCCAGGGCUUCACGCAUGCUACAAUGGCUGGUACAGAGAGUGGCGAGCCUGUGAGGGUGAGCGAAUCUCGGAAAGCCGGUCUCAGUUCGGAUUGGGGUCUGCAACUCGACCUCAUGAAGUCGGAGUCGCUAGUAAUCGCAGAUCAGCAACGCUGCGGUGAAUACGUUCCCGGGGCUUGUACACACCGCCCGUCAAGUCAUGAAAGUUGGUAACACCCGAAGCCGGUGGCCUAACCGUUGUGGGGGAGCCGUCGAAGGUGGGACUGGUGAUUAGGACUAAG